CUGCUUCGCUGACGAGUGGCGGACGGGUGAGUAAUGUCUGGGAAACUGCCUGAUGGAGGGGGAUAACUACUGGAAACGGUAGCUAAUACCGCAUAACGUCGCAAGACCAAAGAGGGGGACCUUCGGGCCUCUUGCCAUCGGAUGUGCCCAGAUGGGAUUAGCUAGUAGGUGGGGUAACGGCUCACCUAGGCGACGAUCCCUAGCUGGUCUGAGAGGAUGACCAGCCACACUGGAACUGAGACACGGUCCAGACUCCUACGGGAGGCAGCAGUGGGGAAUAUUGCACAAUGGGCGCAAGCCUGAUGCAGCCAUGCCGCGUGUAUGAAGAAGGCCUUCGGGUUGUAAAGUACUUUCAGCGGGGAGGAAGGUGCUGAGGUUAAUAACCUCAGCAAUUGACGUUACCCGCAGAAGAAGCACCGGCUAACUCCGUGCCAGCAGCCGCGGUAAUACGGAGGGUGCAAGCGUUAAUCGGAAUUACUGGGCGUAAAGCGCACGCAGGCGGUCUGUCAAGUCGGAUGUGAAAUCCCCGGGCUCAACCUGGGAACUGCAUUCGAAACUGGCAGGCUAGAGUCUUGUAGAGGGGGGUAGAAUUCCAGGUGUAGCGGUGAAAUGCGUAGAGAUCUGGAGGA
Molecule: ribosomal RNA, 629 nt
Filed under: uncultured Pseudomonadota bacterium
Lineage: Bacteria; Pseudomonadati; Pseudomonadota
Description: bacterial SSU rRNA
Rfam family: Bacterial small subunit ribosomal RNA
Source: RNAcentral